CCCUACGGGAGGCAGCAGUGGGGAAUAUUGCACAAUGGGCGAAAGCCUGAUGCAGCAACGCCGCGUGAAGGAAGAAGGGUUUCGGCUCGUAAACUUCUAUCAACAGGGACGAAAGAAAUGACGGUACCUGAAUAAGAAGCCCCGGCUAACUACGUGCCAGCAGCCGCGGUAAUACGUAUGGGGCAAGCGUUAUCCGGAUUUACUGGGUGUAAAGGGAGCGCAGGCGGCCUGGCAAGCCUGAUGUGAAAAACCGGGGCCCAACCCCGGGGCUGCAUUGGGAACUGCCAGGCUGGAGUGCCGGAGAG
RNAcentral lists this ribosomal RNA (305 nucleotides) under uncultured bacterium. RNAcentral's name for it is "bacterial SSU rRNA". It matches the Rfam family "Bacterial small subunit ribosomal RNA", at positions 337 to 656 of the family's 1533-position model. The record is from RNAcentral.